AGUGAACGCUGGCGGUAGGCCUAACACAUGCAAGUCGAACGGCAGCACAGUAAGAGCUUGCUCUUACGGGUGGCGAGUGGCGGACGGGUGAGGAAUACAUCGGAAUCUACUUUUUCGUGGGGGAUAACGUAGGGAAACUUACGCUAAUACCGCAUACGACCUACGGGUGAAAGCAGUGGAUCUUCGGACCUUGCGCGAUUGAAUGAGCCGAUGUCGGAUUAGCUAGUUGGCGAGGUAAAGGCCCACCAAGGCGACGAUCCGUAGCUGGUGUGAGAGGAUGGUCGGCCACACUAGAGCUGAGCCACGGACCAGGCUCCUACGGGAGGGAGCAGUGGGGAAUAUUGGACAAUGGGCGCAAGCCUGAUCCAGCCAUACCGCGUGGGUGAAGAAGGCGUUCGGGUUGUAAAGCCCUUUUGUUGGGAAAGAAAAGCAGCAGGUUAAUACCCAGCUGUUCUGACGGUACCCAAAGAAUAAGCACCGGCUAACUUCGUG
Molecule: ribosomal RNA, 492 nt
Filed under: uncultured bacterium
Lineage: Bacteria
Description: partial 16S ribosomal RNA
Rfam family: Bacterial small subunit ribosomal RNA
Source: RNAcentral